RNAcentral lists this ribosomal RNA (898 nucleotides) under uncultured prokaryote. Its description in RNAcentral is "bacterial SSU rRNA". It matches the Rfam family "Bacterial small subunit ribosomal RNA", at positions 555 to 1451 of the family's 1533-position model. The record is from RNAcentral.
UGGGCGUAAAGCGUGCGUAGGUGGUUGUUAAGUCAGAUGUGAAAGCCCCGGGCUCAACCUGGGAACUGCAUUUGAAACUGGCAAACUUGAGUAUAGGAGAGGAAAGUGGAAUUUCCGGUGUAGCGGUGAAAUGCGUAGAUAUCAGAAGGAACAUCAAUGGCGAAGGCAGCUUUCUGGACUAAUACUGACACUGAGGUACGAAAGCGUGGGUAGCAAACAGGAUUAGAUACCCUGGUAGUCCACGCCGUAAACGACGACAACUAGCCGUUGGGGGGAUUUACCCUUUAGUGGCGAAGCUAACGCGUUAAGUUGUCCGCCUGGGGAGUACGGCCGCAAGGUUAAAACUCAAAGGAAUUGACGGGGACCCGCACAAGCGGUGGAGCAUGUGGUUUAAUUCGAUGCAACGCGAAGAACCUUACCUGGUCUUGACAUACACGGAACUUUCCAGAGAUGGAUCGGUGCCUUCGGGAACCGUGAUACAGGUGCUGCAUGGCUGUCGUCAGCUCGUGUCGUGAGAUGUUGGGUUAAGUCCCGUAACGAGCGCAACCCCUAUCCUUAUUUGCCAGCACAUCAUGGUGGGAACUAUAAGGAGACUGCCGGUGAUAAGCCGGAGGAAGGCGGGGACGACGUCAAGUCAUCACGGCCCUUACGACCAGGGCUACACACGUGCUACAAUGGGAAGAACAAAGAGUUGCGAAGCCGCGAGGUGUAGCUAAUCUCACAAAUCUUUUCGUAGUCCGGAUCGGAGUCUGCAACUCGACUCCGUGAAGUCGGAAUCGCUAGUAAUCGUAGAUCAGAACGCUACGGUGAAUACGUUCCCGGGUCUUGUACACACCGCCCGUCAUACCAUGGGAGUGGGUUGCACCAGAAGUAGCUAGUCUAACUGUUUACAGGGGAC